UUUUCCUUUUUCACAUCACAAUUCACAUCCAAAUAUCUUGACCCUUUCUCUUCAGUCACGAGUCAAGACCUCUGAGACUUGGUUCUGUAAUAAUCUAAAACCUAGAAAGAAGUUUGUUUCUAAUUACGUGUAACUUCAUUUCACAUUGAAGGAAGACAAUGAUGGGACUUUCGUUUUUUCUUAAAACCAUCACUAUCAAAUUUCAUUGACUUACCUUUACUUCUUUGUUCCUUGCUAUUAUCCUCCUUAUUGUUCGGUGCUCUCUCACUCUAUUUUAUCA
Long non-coding RNA from Arabidopsis thaliana (thale cress), 280 nucleotides. RefSeq annotates it as other RNA. Lineage: Eukaryota; Viridiplantae; Streptophyta; Magnoliopsida; Brassicales; Brassicaceae. The transcript has a single exon. The record is from RefSeq.